ACCUUUCAAGAACAGGGUGCGUCGCGGCCCCCCUCCGGGGGCGGUUGGGGUCCUCCCCUUCACGCGCGCACGACUGCAUCCUUACUUUACGAGCACCUUCUGUUCUCCCUCGGCGGGGCAACCUGCCGUUGGAACCGAAUAAACCCUUUUUUGCAUCCAGCAUUACCCGUUCCGAAACAAACAAUCGUUA
RNAcentral lists this unclassified non-coding RNA (190 nucleotides) under soil metagenome. Its description in RNAcentral is "partial internal transcribed spacer 1". The record is from RNAcentral.